UUUUUAUGGAGAGUUUGAUCCUGGCUCAGGAUGAACGCUGGCGGCGUGCCUAAUACAUGCAAGUCGAGCGAACAGACGAGGAGCUUGCUCCUCUGACGUUAGCGGCGGACGGGUGAGUAACACGUGGAUAACCUACCUAUAAGACUGGGAUAACUUCGGAACCGGAGCUAAUACCGGAUAAUAUAUUGAACGCAUGGUUCAAUAGUG
Molecule: ribosomal RNA, 207 nt
Filed under: Staphylococcus epidermidis NIHLM003
Lineage: Bacteria; Bacillati; Bacillota; Bacilli; Caryophanales; Staphylococcaceae
Description: partial 16S ribosomal RNA
Rfam family: Bacterial small subunit ribosomal RNA
Source: RNAcentral